RNAcentral lists this transfer RNA (65 nucleotides) under Rhagophthalmus giganteus. Its description in RNAcentral is "tRNA-Asn". Lineage: Eukaryota; Metazoa; Arthropoda; Insecta; Coleoptera; Rhagophthalmidae. The record is from RNAcentral.
UUAAUUGAAACCAAAUUCGAGGUUUAUCACUGUUAAUGAUAUAAAUGGAUCAUUUCCCAAUUAAA